UGCAAGUCGAACGAUGAUUAUCUAGCUUGCUAGAGAUGAUUAGUGGCGGACGGGUGAGUAACAUUUAGGAAUCUGCCUAGUAGUGGGGGAUAGCUCGGGGAAACUCGAAUUAAUACCGCAUACGACCUACGGGUGAAAGGGGGCGCAAGCUCUUGCUAUUAGAUGAGCCUAAAUCAGAUUAGCUAGUUGGUGGGGUAAAGGCCCACCAAGGCGACGAUCUGUAACUGGUCUGAGAGGAUGAUCAGUCACACCGGAACUGAGACACGGUCCGGACUCCUACGGGAGGCAGCAGUGGGGAAUAUUGGACAAUGGGGGCAACCCUGAUCCAGCCAUGCCGCGUGUGUGAAGAAGGCCUUUUGGUUGUAAAGCACUUUAAGCAGGGAGGAGAGGCUAAUGGUUAAUACCCAUUAGAUUAGACGUUACCUGCAGAAUAAGCACCGGCUAACUCUGUGCCAGCAGCCGCGGUAAUACAGAGGGUGCGAGCGUUAAUCGGAAUUACUGGGCGUAAAGCGAGUGUAGGUGGCUCAUUAAGUCACAUGUGAAAUCCCCGGGCUUAACCUGGGAACUGCAUGUGAUACUGGUGGUGCUAGAAUAUGUGAGAGGGAAGUAGAAUUCCAGGUGUAGCGGUGAAAUGCGUAGAGAUCUGGAGGAAUACCGAUGGCGAAGGCAGCUUCCUGGCAUAAUAUUGACACUGAGAUCGAAAGC
RNAcentral lists this ribosomal RNA (705 nucleotides) under Moraxella sp. RNAcentral's name for it is "bacterial SSU rRNA". It matches the Rfam family "Bacterial small subunit ribosomal RNA", at positions 56 to 760 of the family's 1533-position model. The record is from RNAcentral. Lineage: Bacteria; Pseudomonadati; Pseudomonadota; Gammaproteobacteria; Moraxellales; Moraxellaceae.